AUUGAACGCUGGCGGCAUGCCUAACACGUGCAAGUCGAGCGGAUGAACGGAGCUUGCUCCUGGAUUCAGCGGCGGACGGGUGAGUAAUGCCUAGGAAUCUGCCUGGUAGUGGGGGAUAACGUCCGGAAACGGGCGCUAAUACCGCAUACGUCCUGAGGUAGAAAGUGGGGGAUCUUCGGACCUCACGCUAUCAGAUGAGCCUAGGUCGGAUUAGCUAGUUGGUGGGGUAAAGGCCUACCAAGGCGACGAUCCGUAACUGGUCUGAGAGGAUGAUCAGCCACACUGGAACUGAGACACGGUCCAGACUCCUACGGGAGGCAGCAGUGGGGAAUAUUGGACAAUGGGCGAAAGCCUGAUCCAGCCAUGCCGCGUGUGUGAAGAAGGUCUUCGGAUUGUAAAGCACUUUAAGUUGGGAGGAAGGGCAGUGAGUUAAUACCUUGCUGUUUUGACGUUACCAAAAGAAUAAGCACCGGCUAACUUCGUG
Molecule: ribosomal RNA, 484 nt
Filed under: uncultured bacterium
Lineage: Bacteria
Description: partial 16S ribosomal RNA
Rfam family: Bacterial small subunit ribosomal RNA
Source: RNAcentral